CAUGCAAGUCGAGGGGCAGCAUGAAUAUUGGCUUGCCAAUAUUUGAUGGCGACCGGCGCACGGGUGAGUAACACGUAUCCAACCUUCCGGUUACUCGGGGAUAGGCUUUCGAAAGAAAGAUUAAUACCCGAUGUUGUGUAUCUUUCUCCUGAAAGAUACGCCAAAGGAUUCCGGUAACCGAUGGGGAUGCGUUCCAUUAGGCAGUUGGCGGGGUAACGGCCCACCAAACCUUCGAUGGAUAGGGGUUCUGAGAGGAAGGUCCCCCACAUUGGAACUGAGACACGGUCCAAACUCCUACGGGAGGCAGCAGUGAGGAAUAUUGGUCAAUGGACGGAAGUCUGAACCAGCCAAGUAGCGUGAAGGAUGACUGCCCUCUGGGUUGUAAACUUCUUUUAUACGGGAAUAACAUGAGGUACGCGUACCUUAUUGCAUGUACCGUUAUGAAUAAGCAUCGGCUAACUCCGUGCCAGCAGCCGCGGUAAUACGGAGGAUGCGAGCGUUAUCCGGAUUUAUUGGGUUUAAAGGGAGCGUAGGUGGGAUAUUAAGUCAGCUGUGAAAGUUUGGGGCUCAACCUUAAAAUUGCAGUUGAUACUGGUUUCCUUGAGUACGGUACAGGUGGGCGGAAUUCGUGGUGUAGCGGUGAAAUGCUUAGAUAUCACGAAGAACUCCGAUCGCGAAGGCAGCUCACCGGGCCGGAACUGACACUGAUGCUCGAAAGUGCGGGUAUCAAACAGGAUUAGAUACCCUGGUAGUCCGCACAGUAAACGAUGAAUACUCGCUGUUUGCGAUACACAGUAAGCGGCCAAGCGAAAGCGUUAAGUAUUCCACCUGGGGAGUACGCCGGCAACGGUGAAACUCAAAGGAAUUGACGGGGGCCCGCACAAGCGGAGGAACAUGUGGUUUAAUUCGAUGAUACGCGAGGAACCUUACCCGGGCUUAAAUUGCGCUGGCUUUUACCGGAAACGGUAUUUUCUUCGGACCAGCGUGAAGGUGCUGCAUGGUUGUCGUCAGCUCGUGCCGUGAGGUGUCGGCUUAAGUGCCAUAACGAGCGCAACCCUUAUCUUUAGUUACUAACAGUUUUGCUGAGGACUCUAAAGAGACUGCCGUCGUAAGAUGCGAGGAAGGUGGGGAUGACGUCAAAUCAGCACGGCCCUUACGUCCGGGGCUACACACGUGUUACAAUGGGGAGCACAGCAGGUUGCUACACGGCGACGUGAUGCCAAUCCGUAAAACUCCUCUCAGUUCGGAUCGAAGUCUGCAACCCGACUUCGUGAAGCUGGAUUCGCUAGUAAUCGCGCAUCAGCCACGGCGCGGUGAAUACGUUCCCGGGCCUUGUACACACCGCCCGUCAAGCCAUGAAAGCCGGGGGUACCUGAAGUACGUAACCGCGAGGAUCGUCCUAGGGUAAACCUGGUGAUUGGGGGCUAAGU
RNAcentral lists this ribosomal RNA (1430 nucleotides) under Bacteroides pyogenes. Its description in RNAcentral is "bacterial SSU rRNA". It matches the Rfam family "Bacterial small subunit ribosomal RNA". Lineage: Bacteria; Pseudomonadati; Bacteroidota; Bacteroidia; Bacteroidales; Bacteroidaceae. The record is from RNAcentral.